CUCCUCCUCUUCUUCCUCCUCCUCCUCGCUGCGGGCUCCCCGGGUCGCGGGGCUGCGGGAGGCUCAGCCGGCUGCCCUCGCUGGGAGCUGGGUACCUGGCUCCAUCUCUCUUCGCUCUGUCCCGGGGCUGGGCAGAGGCAGCACCGCACUCUCUCCUGCCACCGUACGUGCGUGUCGGCUCCGCUGCCGCUCCCGCACUAAGUUUCUCGCCCCCUCGCUCUGUGCCGGGAGAGGUGUGCGGCGGAUGCUUUUAUAGUGCCCUGCCUCCCUCCCCUGCUGUCCUCCCCCCUGCUCGCUCCCCCCCUUUCCCUUCUCUCUCUCCGCAGCUCCGCCGCUUCUUGCCGUCCCCCUCCCAACCCCGAGCCCCACGGGCCGGGCACUCACUGCACCUUGCGCGGAGCUCCGGGUUGCGGGGAAUGCCGCCUCCGUGUCCCCUUGCAGGACGCACGGCUUUCCUCUUUGCUGGCUGUAGAAGUACAGCGGAACAAACGCUGUCUCUCAGGUGGGAGGCCCCCGAAUUUAAAGUGAAGUUGAGAUUGGAAAGAGAUGAAAACAGUUCAGUGGAAAUGAGGGUGAGAUGACUGCCUGCUGUGAGUCCGUGUACUGUGGUGUCCGAUCUGGAAGAGCCAAACUUCUUCCUGAGUGCUGCAGCUCAAAGAAAUAUGGAAGAGAAAGAAGGUCACCUCACCAAAAAUGGGGCGUUGGGAAUCUUUGUGGUUGUUCUUCUAUAGUUCUGACUGUGACAUGUAAAGCAAGGAUCUGUGCAACUGGGGCCUGCGUGAGUGAGCAGCAGAGGGCUGUGUGUGGCAGCUGGGAGGUCGAGCUGGUGCCAGAAUGGCCAAAAGCAGAAGGAGCGGUCCCCACCCCAAACAUUUUCAGCCUGGGAGUGACAUCCCCAGCAGUUCUGCUGCAAAGCGAGGGGGAGAUGCACUUCCAGAGUGUGGUGCCAGCUGCGACCAAGGCACAAGAUGGGGUCCUGCCUGCAGCACACUGCGCCGUUCCAGUGUGUGUGUGUGUGUGGGUCAUGGGGAGAGCGGAGCUCACAGGGUGCCUUAGACAGGUCUGGUGUGUCCGAGGGCUGCAGUCACAAGUGAGUCAGAAUGCUGGCACGUUCCAGGCAGACAGGUUGCCCUUCCAAUGGUAAUUCUUUGAACUGUCAGCUGUCAGACUGGGAAGUGGUUAAAAUAAUUGCACUGAAACACUGUUAGAGAUGAGACCAAAAGCCACAGAACCCAACCCUUCAGGUUUAAGGGUUUUUGAACCCGCUAUGAGUGCUGCGCUAGGAAGGAUCCUCACAGACAUCAGUGUCCUGAACACUCUGCUGUGCUCAGCCCCUCUGCCUCAUGAGAUCACUCCCUGACAAGCACCUGUGCUUCGAUGCACAGGGAAAUCCUACAAAGCCGUUCCACAUUACAUAAAGCCCUAACAGCCUGUGGGAUGGUCACUUUGGCUCUAAAAGAAGGUUGUAUUUUCUUUAACCCAAGCAUUCCUUGCACUAAUCAAAAUACUGAGGAGAUAAAAACACUGAUGUGCUUCAGAUGUCAUCGCUUGGACUUGGCUCUCCUGCUGCCAUCAUUGGGAUGCUGUGGCUUUGGGCAGGAAGUAGGGGGCAAGGGAAACUGGGCAGCAAAAAGGCAGAAUGGUCCUGCAGGUGUGGCAGGGCCUAUCCCUACCUACUGGCUGUUGGUGGCUCCUGGCUGUUGAGGAAAAGUGGAAACUUGGCACAUGAGUUGUGUAUUUCAGAGCUCAAUGGCACAAAUCGAUGGCCGGGGGAGACAGGAGGCCGUAAUACGAAACAGUCCAAGCGACAGCCUGGUGAGAAGCACACACAUGGAUCUGCUGCUGAGCUCUGGGUAAUGUAUGUUCUCCCUCGCCUUAUGAAAGGCUGAACCAAAAGACAUCUUUAAUCCAGAUGAGAUGGGCCCAAGCUGGUGCGCAUUUCCUCAUGGGACAUUAAGUUUUAUGCGUUGUACUGUUGUGGAAAGACAGGGAUGGAGCAGUGCUUCUAUUGGCAGUGAGUGGAUGACAGCAAGAAACCAAAGUCCCUCCCACUUGAAAAAGCAGGGACAAAAGUGGCACUUGUGUAUGGGGACAGAGCUGCGUGGCUGUAUUGGUUGGGAGCAGGAAGCCUGUUUGCCAGAGGUGCCAACUGAAAUUCACAAACACUGUUAAACUCAUAUAUGACUUCAUUGAUGAACUGCAACCUUUAGGGGAGUUGUACUGAAAAGCAAAGGGAAAAGCAACCACGUUUUGAGGACUGUGUCCUGGGGUGAUGUUUCAGGGGUCCAUUAGGGCUCUGCUCAUCCCGUCCACCAAAACAGCACUCUGCAGUCACUGUGCCACUUGCAGUGCUUAUGGCCAGCAAGCUGUGUGUGGGGCUGAGUUUACUUUGCAGGGCAAACCCUUCCCCAGCACCACAAGGGUACCUACACUUGGUGGUAUGAGUGCCACUCCUGGAAAUGAAGCACCUCCCAGCUGAGAAAUGACACCGUGUGAAGCCUGGGUGGUCCUGUUGACUGAAAUCAUUAGGAUGUUAAUUGCACCCGCUCAAGUGUGAAAAAUUCUAUUUUGGAUGAGUGCCGCCGCCAGGAGUGCGGAGGAGGUGGAGGUGGCGGCAAUAGAUGAACCAAGCAUGAGGGCCGCUGCCACUGGUGUCAGAGCACUGUGGCUCAGCUGAGGCCUCCACCUGAACUGACCCAGCAGCUGAAGGAUGCAGGUGCUCACCUGUUUGUCCGUGUUGCCUCUUUAGUGUCAGCCUUGCUCCAGGACAGCGGAGGUGCCCUGUUGAGAAGGCUGACAGCUUUUCAGAUGUGGCUGCUGUAGCCCCACUGCUCUCCUCAGCUUGCUCCUCCCUGCGCCCACUCCCAGCAUGCUGUUGUUUUAUCUUUAAGCCCGGGGGUUGCUUUAAAAUUAUCUGUGAUGAAAACCUGGCUCCGGUAAAGUUAUUGGCAAAGCUCCCAUUGACUUCAGAGGAGCCAGGAUUUCACCCGAAGACACUUUGUAGAUGAGUGGUGAAUGGAAAGCAUACAUCUGGCUUCCCGAGGGUUAUUAUAGGUGGUGACGACCUCUGCUCUGGUGAGCGUUGAGCAAUGCUGGGUUGACAGUUGGCUAAAGCUUCUCCUGCCUCUUCCCUGGCUUUACUCUAUGGCUCUUCUUGGAUCCACUUAUCAAGGUGGAAUUCAAUGCCUGUUUGCCCAUACUGCCCUUCCCCCAGUGCCAGCAGAAAAAGAGAUAGGAGACAGAAUGGCUGAUGAGCUUCUAGCUCCAACCUCUAAGCUGGGAGCUACAAAUGCACACACAGCACAGGGGUCUUUAAAAAAACCCAAAAGCAAAUGGAAAAAGAAUAACAUUCCCCUGAUACCAGCAUCAGCCUUUCAUUGACAUGUGCUUCCUUUAUCUCAAUAAAUUACAACUGGAAGAGUAACACCAUCUUUUUACAAUGUCCCAUUAGCUCAACUUCCUUCAUACUCAGCCCACCAGCCGGACCUGGUGGCUGGGACAACGUUUCCCAAUUGUAUGAUAGACUGGAAAUGCAGUGGCCACUUUGUUAACAUUUGAAGUUGAAACGUGUAACAAGUAGAGUCUGAAAGAGAGAAGAUGGAAAUGGAGAAAACAGCGCAGCCCAGUUUCUUGCCUCUCUUAUUUUUAACACUGGAUCGUGUUUAUUUACUCUCUCCCACAUUUUCACUUUUCAGUAUGCUGUGUGUUUUGUACUGAUGAUGGACAGCUGCACCAUAGUGUUUGUCAGGGUGCAGUGGUACGUGGCUGUGGGAAUCAGCAUAAUGGGGAAACACUCUCCAAAAGUGCCCGAAGAGCCUAAAUUCUGCUGACUUGCACAGGUGCCCUCCACAGCAAGGUUACAACCAACCAACCAGCCAACCAACCAGAAACAAAGAGAUAAAUAGAGCAGUUUACACCUUCCACACCUAUGGUUUCCAGCCCCUUUAUUUCCCCAGGGAAAACAUCACAUUACUGGAUUGCAAUUGCCUUCUUGUUCAAGGUUGUUUUUUGACACUCUGGAAGUACUUAACAAAACCCAAAAGAAAGCAGAAAGCCGGCUGAGCUCUGGGGAAGGGGAGGGGAGGAUUUCACAACAAACAUGGUGCUGGUGGGUGAGACGAAGGGCUGUCUCCAUUGCAGGGAACCUCACAUAAGUAAAUAAAAAUCAGCUCAUUUCUUGUUGGCAUCAGAUGAUGUCACCUGGCUUAGCUGACUUAACACGAAAGGCAGAGGACUGUGCUGGAGCUAUGCUGUCAGGGCUGAAGGUCAUUGGUGAGGCUGUGCCUCCUGGGUAGCAGCUGCUACAAAGGUGGCAGAAAAAAAGGACCAAAAGGAGAGGUGUUUCACUGCUGUUCCCUUAUUUCUGAUGCUCUGGUGCUGAGCCCACUGGUACCCUAAUCAAGCACAGCGACAAACACUGUGAUCCCUGCAGAGCUGUCCGAAUGAUCUGCUGCUUUGGCAACAGUCUUUUAAAACUGGUAUGUUUGCUGAGAUGCAGGCAAAAAGCACUUACGUGAAGUGAAUCUUCCGUAGGGAUGGUGGCAAAGUACUUGGUGCAGUCGCACCUGUUAUGCAGCCAUGUGGCACACUGCAAGGAAACAGCAGGAGGAGGCUCACAGUUAUUGAUGCAGGUAAAGAAACCAGGCAAACUACACAUGCCCCUUUCUUGGUGUUCUUGAGUGGCUGUUCCUAAAAUCAUUUGUCCCAGACUACGGACAUUUGGAUUAGAUAUUCCUAACAGCAAUGGGGCACAGCAGGGCGGGUUUUGUGUCUCUGUUAGCACAGCUUUUAGCAGACUGAUGGCCAGGUUAGCAAUACCCCAGUACCAACAAUGGUAAUCAUAACAGCAAACAGUGGUAGAGAUCCUGUGCAAUAUCCCAGGCAAUAGAGGAUAAGAUUAAUUUGAAAAGUCUUUGCAAAGGAUGAUGAUAUUACAUUAAGUAAAGAGGGAGACAACAGACUACAGCUCAGCACAUGUUCGAGGCAGCUAUCCUGCACAGGAGAGGUUUGCUCCUCACCUAACCUGAAGACAGCAGCAUGAAUGGAACAGCAUGGAAAAAGCAAUACCUGGAGCUCCACCUUGCUGCCUGCAACAGUUAUUUGCUGCUAAGCAAGGACUGAGUUUUUCUGCUCUGUUUACUGGUAACAUCCUAUGGGAAUGAAAAUCAGCUUCAGGAGGUAGUGCAAACCUAUGGAAAUCCUCAAGGGAAAGAGGCUUCAGAGAGAAUGCAGCCUGGCCUUGAAUGCCUCCAGGGUGCUUUGUCCUUCUACUGCACCAGACAUAACCAGUGCCCCUUUUGUGCUGCAAUAUCCCUCCAUAGUUUGCAUGUUUCCAGUGCAUUUUCUCAUAUAUAGUCUUAAAAUGUGGGCUGACUGGGCUUGCUGUUUCUAUUGAAGCUGCUGGUGGUUUUUCUCCAGGUGAGUCCACCAGUCUAAGCAAAGGGCAGGGCAAUCACCUGGCCUCCUGCAGUUUUGCUUCAGAAUUGUCUCUUUGCAAGGUUAGAAAUGGGGAGGCUGUUUCUAGUACUAAAUCCACAGAGCAGGUGGUCGAUAAUAUCAUUAGCUUAACAAAACAGAAAGCUUGUGAUAGGUCCCACUAUAAAAUGAAAUUAUAUCCAAAAAUUGAGAAAAGCCAUCUAAGAUCAUCGCAUCCAACCUUCAACCCACCCCCCCCCCAUGCCCACUAACCACAUCCCUCAGUGCCACAUCUCCACAUUCCUUGAAUACCUCCUGGGAUGGUGACUUCCAGCACCGCCCCGAGCGGCCAGUGCCAAUGCCCGAUUGCUCUUUCUGUGAAGAAAUAAUACUCAACGUGAUAACCAACCCUACAAUCUUACUUGAUAACACAACAAAGAAAUGAAUUUCAGUGCAGGCAGGAUCAGACCCUUGUGCAUGAAGGCUCUCUCCACUGUAUAGGGAGACGCUAAAAAGAUUCUGUUUAAACAAGAAACAACUUGAAACAGAAUGAAGAAAUCUAAAGAGAGAGAGAGAAAAAAGCCAAUUAACCCUCUUUGACUUCUGGUGCUUAACCUCAAGCAGCUUUAUUUUUUAUCCCCCGGGGGGGUUCAUCUGUAAAAUGCUCCAGUUUACAAGUGGGUUUAACUACUACAUGCUGCUUUUCAACCCCAGGCAGACAGAGACAGAUCCAAUUGACACCUGCUUCAGACAACAAAUGGAACACAAAAGAUUAAACUCAUUUCAAAGGGUC
Molecule: non-coding RNA, 6208 nt
Organism: Coturnix japonica (Japanese quail)
Lineage: Eukaryota; Metazoa; Chordata; Aves; Galliformes; Phasianidae
Source: RefSeq, a predicted model, not a curated record